Non-coding RNA from Parelaphostrongylus tenuis, 71 nucleotides. NCBI's taxonomy places the organism in Eukaryota, Metazoa, Nematoda, Chromadorea, Rhabditida, Metastrongylidae. The record is from the annotation of a GenBank genome assembly.
AACUCCCGUGGUGCAGUGGUUAGCGCGCAUCCUGGAAGACUCGGAUGCGGGUUCAAUUCCCGCCCGAGUCG